GCCCCGGCCCGCCCCCGCCGGCGGAGCCCGGCCUCCUUCACACCUGACUCGGGCCAGCCCGGGUCCCGCGCGCGCAGAGAAGGGACCACGACGCGUCCCCGCCGAGGUUGGGCCCCUGGGGUGCGGCGGGGGAGGGCGGGCAGCUCUUCAGCCCGGGGGUGGUCGGCGAUUCCGGACAGACAGACGGACAGUGCGGACCCGCGGGGGGUGGGGCUGCCGGGGAGGGGCGGCGCCACGGGGAGCGAGCCGGCCUCCUGGUGCCGGAGCCCGGGCGGGGACGCCACACGCUCAGGCUCGGAGCCGAGCGCUGGCGGCGGCGUCCGGCCCGGAGCGCGGAGGGCGGCCGGGCAGGUGGGGCGCCUCCCGAGGGGCCGCGCCGGGAGCGGGGGCUGCGGGCACCGCCGCCGCGCCCCCCGCGCCCGCCCGCACCCGGGGCGCGCGUCCGGCCGAGCGGGGGUCGGGCGCGCGGGGACCCGGCGAUGCCGCCGCCGCCGCCGCCUCUGAGGGAGCGCCCGAGCCCGCCGCGGGGAGAGGUCGAAAUGCGCGAGCCUGAGUAUGCUGGAAGCCCGUGAGCGCCCCGACCCCCCGGCGACUGCGGCGAGGCCCUCCGGAGGAAGCGCGCUGAGCGGCGGACUCUGACUUGGGACGGCCCGGCCCUGCC
This 661-nucleotide long non-coding RNA is filed under the name Bos indicus x Bos taurus (hybrid cattle). RNAcentral's name for it is "lncRNA (ENSBIXG00000010832.1)". Lineage: Eukaryota; Metazoa; Chordata; Mammalia; Artiodactyla; Bovidae. The record is from RNAcentral.